Long non-coding RNA from Oxyura jamaicensis (ruddy duck), 659 nucleotides. RefSeq lists it as uncharacterized. The record is from RefSeq and is a predicted model, not a curated record. NCBI's taxonomy places the organism in Eukaryota, Metazoa, Chordata, Aves, Anseriformes, Anatidae. The transcript has 3 exons.
CAAGGAAACUACAUGGGUGUGGUCCCAGCUAAGCCCAGCCACAUCUCUGCAGGGUGCUGACUGCUCCCGGAGGAGGAAAGCAUGAAACAGGAACAAUAGUUCGGUGUCCUUUGCAUGAGUAAUGUUUUGAAAGAGCUGCAAGAGACCAAGGGAAGCCUUAUCUCAUCGGCAUACGAUGUUCACCAAGGGCCUGCUGGAAGAUCCAAGUCCAGUCUGCACUUGUGAAGCACCUGCUCUGCAGGUUCUGAUUUUGUCUCGCCUUCACUCUGGGGACUUCUACUAAGGAGAGGGCAAACUGGGGAAUUCCUUCUGGGAUAUGUUGAUGCUUGCAUUUUCUGGUGAAGUUAUGCUUGCUAUGUUCAUACAGUGCUGAACCAAGCAGUUGUUCUUCUCAUAAAGCUUCCAACUGUAACCUUUGUCCAGAGUGCUUUGACAAGUAGAGCUGUAGCUUCUGUAUAGCUGGAACUGAACAAUGGAGAUGUGAUGGAACUUUGGGUUCUGUGGAUACCUCCUGACAAGCGAUGGCUGAUUUGACGUAAGGAGCUGAUCAGAUGGAAAUCAUCAGUGAACCCAAUAUUAUACUUUGCAGUGUGUGUACAAUUGCCUUGGUAGCUUCCAAAAGAGUGUAGUUGGGGAUUUUAAGAAGUCCGCCUUGUUCU